This 327-nucleotide ribosomal RNA is filed under the name uncultured bacterium. RNAcentral's name for it is "bacterial SSU rRNA". It matches the Rfam family "Bacterial small subunit ribosomal RNA", at positions 767 to 1084 of the family's 1533-position model. The record is from RNAcentral.
AGCUAAUAGAUACCCAGGUAGUCCUGGCAGUAAACGGUGCGCGUUUGGUGUGGGAGGAUUUCGACCCCUCUGUGCCGGAGCUAAACGACGUUAAACGACGCCGCCUGGGGAGUACGGUCGCAAGAUUAAAACUACAAAGAAAUUAGACGGGGGCCCGGCGACAAGCGGUGGAGUAUGUGGCUAAUUCGAUAGCAACGCGAAGAACCUUACCUAGCCUUGACAUGCAUCUCUAAGUCGGUGAAAGACCGGCGACUAUAGCAAUAUAGAAUUUAGUCACAGGUGGCUGCAUGGCUGUCGUCAGCUCGUGUCGUGAGAUGUUGGGUUUAA